Non-coding RNA from Durio zibethinus, 3201 nucleotides. NCBI's taxonomy places the organism in Eukaryota, Viridiplantae, Streptophyta, Magnoliopsida, Malvales, Malvaceae. The record is from RefSeq and is a predicted model, not a curated record.
CUCUCGCUCUGACAAUCGAAAGCGAAAAAUGAAAUUUCCUAAUUAUCAUCAUUUUUCGGAGGUGGCGUCGAAUUUUUUUUUUAUUUCAACUAUUUUCUAGAUUUCUUUUUUUUUUAGUUUUUUUACCCUUCUCUUUGACUCGAUUCUCUUCUCUCCUCUUCAAGUCUUCCCUAUCUUUUUUACACUUCACAUUUACAGAAACGCAAAAAAAAGAAGAAAAAAUCAAUUCCUCUCUUUGAUCUUUGCCAAGUCUCUAUUUUUGUUGCAUCUUUAUAAAGUAAAUUAUGUAAAUAUUUAUUGGGUUUUCUUUUUCUAGGAUCUGAUUCGUGAUCUUCCUUUAAAAUAUUUGUCUUUUUUUAAUCUUUUAUCUCUUCCCUUAUUAUGUUAAUUAUGAGGUUCUGGAAAUUCAAGCAAGUUUGAGUUUUUAUGCAUUCAUAUAAUAGUUUUCUGUCAUGGGAUUCGAAAAAAAUGAAACUAUCAAAAAGAAUUCAAUUUGGGAUCUUCAGUUUCAGCCUCUUUGUUGUGUAGAAUUAUUGCAAUGAUAUCAGUUUAAAAGAAUUACUGAAAGGAAAGGACUCGGUUUUGUGCAUGAUUUGUCUGAAUACUUGUUUUCUGAAAAACCCAGAUAGCAUUUAUUGUUAUUUUUGAUAAUUUUGUUUUUGUUUAACAGUUUUUUUUUUUUUUUGGAUUUGUACACAGUUUCUUGUUUACUGUUUUUAAUUAACUUCUAGAUUUAGUUUGUCCUUUUUUUUUUGGUUAGCUCAAUAGCAAUAGAAAGUCGGGUUUUUGGGACCAAAGUUUUGAUCUUUCUUCAUGAAUUAAGCAAGAUUUGACUAAGAUUAUAAUGGCUUAUUUAUCUGAGCCAUCUUCUUCUUUGAGCUUCAGUUCAUCUUCGCAUCUGUCAAAUGGCUCAAAUACUCACAACAUACCCUCCUUUUCUAUUCCUGAAACUGGGGCUAACCUUGAAGUUAUAAGUUUGACCAAGCUCAGCUCCAACUUGGAGCAACUCGUUGUUGGCGACUGUCCUGCUUUUAGUGAUUCUGAUAUAGUUGUUGAAGAUGUUGCUGUUGGUGUUCAUAGAUGUAUUUUAGCUGUUAGGAGUAAGUUUUUUAAUGAGUUGUUCAUGAAAGGAAAUGGGUCUUGUGAGGAAGAAGGAAAACCAAGUUAUAACCUGAGCGAGUUGUUGCCUUAUGGCAAGGUUGGACUUGAAGCUUUUCAGGUUUUCUUGAGUUAUUUGUAUACUGGGAAGCUCAAGCCUUCUCCUAUGGAGGUUUCAACAUGUGUUGAUAAUGUUUGUGCUCAUGAUGCUUGUCGACCCGCCAUUAAUUUUGCCGUGGAGUUGAUGUAUGCAUCUUUUAUAUUUCAAAUACCGGAGCUGGUUUCACUUUUUCAGCGACGUCUUCUUAAUUUUGUUGAGAAGGCUCUUGUAGAAGAUAUUAUCCCAAUCCUUGUGGUUGCUUUCCAUUGUCAAUGCAGUCAGCUUGUUUCUCAAUGUGUUGAUAGAGUGGCAAGGUCAGAUCUUGAUAGCAUUUCUAUUGAGAAAGAGCUUCCUUAUGAAGUCGCGGAGAGUAUUCGAUUGCUUCGCCACAAGUGUCUGCCUGACAAUGAAGAUAAUGAGGAAGCAGCCGAUCCUUUGCGAGAAAAAAGAAUUCGGAGAAUACACAAAGCAUUAGACUCUGACGAUGUCGAACUUGUUAAACUACUUUUAACUGAGUCUGAAAUAACUUUGGAUGAUGCUACUGCUCUCCAUUAUGCUGCAGCAUACUGUGAUCCCAAGGUUGUCUCUGAGGUUCUUGGCCUGCGCCUGGCUGAUGUUAAUCUACGAAAUUCUCGUGGUUACACAGUUCUUCACAUAGCUGCAAUGCGUAAAGAACCAUCAGUGAUUAUGUCACUUCUAGCAAAAGGGGCCUCUGCUUCAGAAUUGACGUCGGAUGGACAAAGUGCUGUUAACAUCUGCCAGAGGUUGACAAGACCAAAGGAUUAUCAUGCAAAAACAGAGCAAGGGAAGGAAACAAAUAAAGACCGGAUAUGCAUUGAUGUCCUGGAGAGGGAAAUGAGGAGAAAUCCAAUGGCUGGAGAUGUUUCUGUUACUUCCCAUACAUUGGCUGAUGAUCUGCACAUGAGACUUCUGUACCUAGAAAACCGAGUGGCAUUUGCAAGAUUACUUUUCCCUAGUGAAGCGAAACUUGCUAUGGACAUAGCACAUGCUGAGACAACCUCUGAGUUUGCUGGUCUUUCAUCGAAAGGUUCUAAUGGAAACUUAAGGCAGGUUGACUUGAAUGAGACGCCCAUUAUGCAGAAGAACAGACUUCUUGCAAGGAUGCAGGCCCUUAUGAAAACAGUGGAAAUGGGUCGGCGCUAUUUCCCUCAUUGCUCGGAAGUUUUAGAUAAGUUCAUGGAGGAUGACCUUCCUGAUUUGUUUUACCUUGAGAGGGGCACCCCGGAGGAAAAAAAAAUAAAGAGAUCACGCUUCAGGGAGCUUAAGGAGGAUGUUCAGAAGGCAUUUAACAAGGACAAGGCCGAGUUUAACCGCAAUGGGUUGUCUUCAUCGUCAUCAUCAUCUUCUUUAAGAGAUGCUGGCCCUUAUAAGCUCAGAAAAUUGUGAAUAAAUGUAGGUUGUGCCUACAAUGAGGAAUGAUUAUCAGAAGCAAAACGCUUUAGAGUUUUGAUGAAGGUUUCUCAUGAGAGGAACUUAUAAGUGUUGACUACUUCUGUCUACAACUUUUAGCCGGGACAACUUGUUAUGUAAUCUAUGCCUUGCUAAUAAAGGUUGGUCUGGUUACAAUUCUUGUUCUAGAGAUGAUGAUAACUAAAAUGGAGGAUGCACGGUGAUUCUAAAUCCCAAAGAUUUUCUUCAUGAUGUUGAUCGUUGUCACUGGAUUGCAGAUAAAAGUAUUGACCCAUUUGGAAGGGGGUGGUAUGUUCAAGUCUGGGAGAUCAAUCCAUUUGUGUAGCUGUAAAUUUAAUGUAAAAGCAACAAUUUUAUCUGAACAAGUGGAGCAAUAUACACAAUCGAAAAUGUCUUUACCAUCGUAUCACCUUUUAAUAAAAAUUUUUGGUAUCUUAAUUCACGUUUUCAGCUCAUUUUGCAAGCAUUUCUUCAGUGUAAUUCAAAUUCCUUCCAUGCUGAUUUUGCAUGAUGGCGUUCGUAACAUUCUACUGCAAUUACCAGCACUAAACAAUUCCAGAACUUCAAUUGAU